Molecule: ribosomal RNA, 150 nt
Filed under: Castanea sativa (European chestnut)
Lineage: Eukaryota; Viridiplantae; Streptophyta; Magnoliopsida; Fagales; Fagaceae
Description: partial 5.8S ribosomal RNA
Rfam family: 5.8S ribosomal RNA
About the family: 5.8S ribosomal RNA (5.8S rRNA) is a component of the large subunit of the eukaryotic ribosome. It is transcribed by RNA polymerase I as part of the 45S precursor that also contains 18S and 28S rRNA.
Source: RNAcentral
UAGGCUCUCGCAUCGAUGAAGAACGUAGCGAAAUGCGAUACUUGGUGUGAAUUGCAGAAUCCCGCGAAUCAUCGAGUUUUUGAACGCAAGUUGCGCCCGAAGCCAUUCGGCCGAGGGCACGUCUGCCUGGGUGUCACGCAUCGUUGCCCC